This 442-nucleotide ribosomal RNA is filed under the name uncultured bacterium. Its description in RNAcentral is "partial 16S ribosomal RNA". It matches the Rfam family "Bacterial small subunit ribosomal RNA", at positions 338 to 795 of the family's 1533-position model. The record is from RNAcentral.
CCUACGGGUGGCCGCAGUGGGGAAUAUUGGGCAUUGGGCGCAAGCCUGACCCAGCAACGCCGCGUGAAGGAAGAAGGCUUUCGGGUUGUAAACUUCUUUUGUCAGGGACGAAGCAAGUGACGGUACCUGACGAAUAAGCCACGGCUAAGAACGUCCCAGCCGCCCCGGUAAUACUUAGGUGGCAAGCUUUAUCCGGUUUUCUUGGGGGAAAGGGCGUUUAGGCGGGAAGACAAGUCAGAUGUGAAAACCACGGGCUCAACCUGUGGCCUGCAUUUGAAACUGUAGUUCUUGAGUACUGGAGAGGCCGACGGAAUUCCUAGUGUAGCGGUGAAAUGCGUAGAUAUUAGGAGGAACACCAGUGGCGAAGGCGGUCUGCUGGACAGCAACUGACGCUGAGGCGCGAAAGCGUGGGGAGCAAACAGGAUUAGAUACCCCUGUAGUC